Molecule: ribosomal RNA, 119 nt
Filed under: Pteropus alecto (black flying fox)
Lineage: Eukaryota; Metazoa; Chordata; Mammalia; Chiroptera; Pteropodidae
Also listed under: 1 other name
Source: RNAcentral
GUCUACGGCCAUACCACCCUGAACACGCCUGAUCCCGUCUGAUCUCGGAAGCUAAUCAGGGUCAGGCCUGGUUAGUACUUGGAUGGGAGACCUCCUAGGAAGACCAGGUGCUCUAGGCG